Ipomoea nil (Japanese morning glory) is the source of this 213-nucleotide long non-coding RNA. RefSeq lists it as uncharacterized. Lineage: Eukaryota; Viridiplantae; Streptophyta; Magnoliopsida; Solanales; Convolvulaceae. The transcript has 2 exons. The record is from RefSeq and is a predicted model, not a curated record.
GUGAGCUAAAUAGCUAAGAUUUGGAUGUUUUAGAGUAGUUAAGGACAUGUGAAUAACACGAGCACAAGUGGUGGGGUGUCGAAUGUGACUUUUGAAACUAGGAAACUUAGUCCUAGUAUUGGAGCUUAUCAUGGAUUUUUGUUUAUUUAGAUAUUCACUUUGACUCUUUGUAUUUUUGGUAAACCAUUAUGCUUGGUUUUGGUGCUUGUGAUG